This is a long non-coding RNA of Bradysia coprophila, 81 nucleotides long. The record is from RefSeq and is a predicted model, not a curated record. NCBI's taxonomy places the organism in Eukaryota, Metazoa, Arthropoda, Insecta, Diptera, Sciaridae.
GGUCCGAUUGGAGAAGAUUGCUGGAAGAGGCCAAAACCAAUAGUAGGUUGUAGUGCCCGCCUAAGUAAUCACGCAUCGACA